UACGUAGGGGGCAAGCGUUGUCCGGAUUUAUUGGGCGUAAAGAGCGUGUAGGCGGCUUUACAGGUCCGUUGUGAAAACUCGAGGCUCAACCUCGAGACGCCGGUGGAAACCGUAAGGCUAGAGUCCGGAAGAGGAGAGUGGAAUUCCCGGUGUAGCGGUGAAAUGCGCAGAUAUCGGGAAGAACACCCGUGGCGAAGGCGGCUCUCUGGGACGGUACUGACGCUGAGACGCGAAAGCGUGGGGAGCGAACAGG
RNAcentral lists this ribosomal RNA (253 nucleotides) under uncultured bacterium. RNAcentral's name for it is "partial 16S ribosomal RNA". It matches the Rfam family "Bacterial small subunit ribosomal RNA", at positions 524 to 776 of the family's 1533-position model. The record is from RNAcentral.